AAAGUUUGAUUCUAGCUUACAAAUUGAUUUAUUUUUUGUAAUAACACAUGCAAAUUUCUAAACACCGUGAAAUAAUAUAAUAAUUUUAUAUUAUAAAAUUAUUCUUUUAUACUAAAUUUUAUAGAAUAUUUUAUUCACGUCUGCAGUGAUUAAUCCUUAAUUAUAAAUGAGAGUUUGAUUAGGCAAUAAACUAAUUUGAUUGGCCAAAUCUGUGCCAGCAGUCGCGGUUAGACAGAAGAUCAAAAUCAAUAAUCUUGGGGUUGUUAAUAGAGAAUAAUAACUAUAUUUAGGGUUCAAUCUUUUUAUACUCCUUUACUUAUAUUCUCUUAGCUUAAUACGAAAGUAUAGACAAAAACAAGGAUUAGAUACCCUUUUAUUUUAAACUUUAAACUUUUACCAGGGCACUACGAACACAUGUUUAAAACCCAAAGAACUUGGCGGUACUUUAACCUCCUAGGGGAGCCUGUUAAUUAAUUCGAUAAUCCACGUUUACCUUACUUAUAUUGGCUUUCAGUUUGUAUACUGCCGUCGUAUGUUUACCUUUAGAAAGACAGUAAACUUAAAGAAUACUUCUUAUACGUCAGGUCAUAGUGCAACCUAUAUAUAAGCUUAAAAUGGGCUACAUUCCUAAAAAGGGAUGAAUAAAGAACUUAAUUUUUCUUUUGAAAAUGGACUUAGUCGUAAGAUUUUUAAUAAAAAUCUGAACAAUGGAUAUCUAAAGUGUGCACAAAUCGCCCGUCACUCCCCUCUAAAGAGGGGAUAAGUCGUAACAUAGUAGGGGUAAUGGAAAUUGCCCCUAU
This 800-nucleotide non-coding RNA is filed under the name Arctonoe vittata. Lineage: Eukaryota; Metazoa; Annelida; Polychaeta; Phyllodocida; Polynoidae. The record is from RNAcentral.